ACCAACAUCAACUAACGACUUCAAGUGGCUAGGAUUUGUCGCUCUCAUCUGUUCGCAGUAGUGCCGACAAGGCCCGGGUUCAAUUCCCGGUGUCGGAA
Neodidymelliopsis sp. IMI 364377 is the source of this 98-nucleotide non-coding RNA. NCBI's taxonomy places the organism in Eukaryota, Fungi, Ascomycota, Dothideomycetes, Pleosporales, Didymellaceae. The record is from the annotation of a GenBank genome assembly.